RNAcentral lists this ribosomal RNA (1050 nucleotides) under uncultured bacterium. RNAcentral's name for it is "bacterial SSU rRNA". It matches the Rfam family "Bacterial small subunit ribosomal RNA", at positions 10 to 1043 of the family's 1533-position model. The record is from RNAcentral.
AGUUUGAUCCUGGCUCAGGGGGAACGCUGGCGGCGUGCUUAACACAUGCAAGUCAAGGAGAAAAGACUUCUUCGGAGGUCUGAGUAAACUGGCGAACGGGUGAGUAACACGUAGAUAACCUGCCCUCAAGACUGGGAUAACACUGCUAACGCGGUGCUAAUACCGGAUGACGCAACAAGGCCGCAUGGUCGAGUUGUUAAAGUUGGCUUUGGCUAACACUUGAGGAUGGAUCUGCGCCCCAUUAGCUAGUUGGUGAGGUAGUGGCUCACCAAGGCAACGAUGGGUAGCCGGCCUGAGAGGGUGAUCGGCCACACUGGGACUGAGAUACGGCCCAGACUCCUACGGGAGGCAGCAGUGAGGAAUAUUGCGCAAUGGCAGAAAUACUGACGCAGCAACGCCGCGCGAGGGAUGAAGCAUCUAGGUGUGUAAACCUCUGUUAGGAGGGACGAAACCGCUUGUAUCGAACAGGUACAGGCCUUGACGGUACCUCCAGAGAAAGCCCCGGCUAACUCCGUGCCAGCAGCCGCGGUAACACGGGGGGGGCAAGCGUUGUCCGGAAUUAUUGGGCGUAAAGGGCGCGCAGGCGGGAUAAUCAGUCUGGGGUGAAAACUUGCAACUUAACUGCGAGCUUGCCCUGGAUACUGUUAUUCUUGAGUUCGGAAGAGGGAAGUGGAAUUCCUGGUGUAGCGGUGAAAUGCGUAGAUAUCAGGAAGAACACCGGUGGCGAAGGCGGCUUCCUGGUCCGAUACUGACGCUGAGGCGCGAAAGCGUGGGGAGCAAACAGGAUUAGAUACCCUGGUAGUCCACGCUGUAAACGAUGGGUACUAGGUGUUGGCUCGCUUGUGGGUCAGCGCCGCAGCUAACGCAUUAAGUACCCCGCCUGGGGAGUACGAACGCAAGUUUGAAACUCAAAGGAAUUGACGGGGGCCCGCACAAGCGGUGGAGCAUGUGGUUUAAUUCGAUGCAACGCGAAGAACCUUACCUGGGCUUGAACUGCAGUUGAUCGCUCCUGAAAGGGAGCUUUCCUUCGGGACAGCUGUAGGGGUGCUG